RNAcentral lists this ribosomal RNA (840 nucleotides) under Trichoderma reesei. RNAcentral's name for it is "SSU rRNA". It matches the Rfam family "Eukaryotic small subunit ribosomal RNA", at positions 46 to 892 of the family's 1831-position model. Lineage: Eukaryota; Fungi; Ascomycota; Sordariomycetes; Hypocreales; Hypocreaceae. The record is from RNAcentral.
AAGCCAUGCAUGUCUAAGUAUAAGCAAUUAUACCGCGAAACUGCGAAUGGCUCAUUAUAUAAGUUAUCGUUUAUUUGAUAAUACUUUACUACUUGGAUAACCGUGGUAAUUCUAGAGCUAAUACAUGCUGAAAAUCCCGACUUCGGAAGGGAUGUAUUUAUUAGAUUAAAAACCAAUGCCCCUCGGGGCUCUCUGGUGAAUCAUGAUAACUAGUCGAAUCGACAGGCCUUGUGCCGGCGAUGGCUCAUUCAAAUUUCUUCCCUAUCAACUUUCGAUGUUUGGGUAUUGGCCAAACAUGGUGGCAACGGGUAACGGAGGGUUAGGGCUCGACCCCGGAGAAGGAGCCUGAGAAACGGCUACUACAUCCAAGGAAGGCAGCAGGCGCGCAAAUUACCCAAUCCCGACACGGGGAGGUAGUGACAAUAAAUACUGAUACAGGGCUCUUUUGGGUCUUGUAAUCGGAAUGAGUACAAUUUAAAUCCCUUAACGAGGAACAAUUGGAGGGCAAGUCUGGUGCCAGCAGCCGCGGUAAUUCCAGCUCCAAUAGCGUAUAUUAAAGUUGUUGUGGUUAAAAAGCUCGUAGUUGAACCUUGGGCCUGGCUGGCCGGUCCGCCUCACCGCGUGCACUGGUCCGGCCGGNCCUUUCCCUCUGCGGAACCCCAUGCCCUUCACUGGGUUGUGGCGGGGAAACAGGACUUUUACUUUGAAAAAAUUAGAGUGCUCAAGGCAGGCCUAUGCUCGAAUACAUUAGCAUGGAAUAAUAGAAUAGGACGUGUGGGUUCUAUUUUGUUGGUUUCUANGACCGCCGUAAUGGAUUAAUAGGGNACAGUCGGGGGNCAU